ACCUCAAUAGCUCAGUGGUAGAGUGCUUGAUGAAUAUGUUCUCGUCGUGAGUGAUAUAUAUCAUCAAAAUGCCAGGGUUCGAAUCCCUGUUGAGGAA
This is a non-coding RNA of Lentinula edodes (shiitake mushroom), 97 nucleotides long. The record is from Rfam. NCBI's taxonomy places the organism in Eukaryota, Fungi, Basidiomycota, Agaricomycetes, Agaricales, Omphalotaceae.